UACGGGGGGGGCAAGCGUUGUUCGGAAUUACUGGGCGUAAAGCGUGCGUAGACGGUUAUGUAAGUCGGGUGUGAAAGCCCCGGGCUCAACCUGGGAAUUGCAUUCGAGACUGUGUAGCUAGGGUACGGAAGAGGGAAGCGGAAUUUCAGGUGUAGCGGUGAAAUGCGUAGAUAUCUGAAGGAACACCAGUGGCGAAAGCGGCUUCCUGGUCCAGUACCGACGUUCAGGCACGAAAGCGUGGGGAGCAAACAGG
RNAcentral lists this ribosomal RNA (253 nucleotides) under uncultured bacterium. RNAcentral's name for it is "partial 16S ribosomal RNA". It matches the Rfam family "Bacterial small subunit ribosomal RNA", at positions 524 to 776 of the family's 1533-position model. The record is from RNAcentral.